AAAAAGGGUUCAAAUUACUUGUUCAAGAUAAACACGUUAUCAGAAGAUUAAAAAUAAAGGAGAGGGAAACUUUAAAUUGGAUAGGCUUAUGGGAGAGAUUUAAUGGAAACUCUAUUAAAGUUACACUUCAAUGAAUCAUAACCCCUCCCAACGCUUUCUUUCAUCCUCAAAAGCACGCAUCUAGCAAACAGCAACAGCACAGAGCAGCCAAACAUCCUUCCAAACAGCCAACACUGCUGCUCUGUUGAGGAGGCGGCGGCUGACCGUACUGAGGGCCAUAACCUGGAGGGGGAGGACCAUAUCCCGG
This 307-nucleotide unclassified non-coding RNA is filed under the name Hevea brasiliensis (rubber tree). Lineage: Eukaryota; Viridiplantae; Streptophyta; Magnoliopsida; Malpighiales; Euphorbiaceae. The record is from RNAcentral.